This is a long non-coding RNA of Galendromus occidentalis (western predatory mite), 652 nucleotides long. RefSeq lists it as uncharacterized. The transcript is spliced from 3 exons. The record is from RefSeq and is a predicted model, not a curated record. NCBI's taxonomy places the organism in Eukaryota, Metazoa, Arthropoda, Arachnida, Mesostigmata, Phytoseiidae.
GCACCAUAUAAGGAUAAAGACUUGGACCAGUGCCCUCCAACAAUCAUGGUCCCUGCCGAGAUCAUCAGAGACUUGACUCCCGACAUCCGUACUUUCGACACUCUCGACCUUGCGGGUCGCAUAUGGUCCGAUGCGGGCUUGCACAUCGGUCGCUUGCACGAUGAUGCGUUUUACCAAGCCGUGACGAGCGCGAUGGGCGGAUGCACCAACUUGAUGUCUCCGCCGAGGAAAUUCAUCCGAUACAUUAGAGAGUUCACUUGGCGUGUGAAAGAAUUAUCGGGGAAGCCCCCGAGCUCCCCCGUAGGCUCUCUCGAUAGCGAAGAUUGAUUGAGCUCAAAAGUGUAUUUGAGCUCAAUGUAUUUCACAAAUGUUGUUUGUGAAUUGUGAGUGCGAGACGGAGUUAUGCUCCUGGGUAGCACUGGACACAUACUCUUAGAUAGCCCUGAGGAUAUUGAGUAUUCGGAAAAUGACUAAAUCAAUCAUGUAUCAUAAUUUAAGAUAUGAUUGAGAUUCCUCUCCAGCGAAGCACAUGACGAUAUUUCUGAUUGCCGAUGCCAGAUUUCGCACGAUCAUUCGUGUGCCAUGUGAGCGGCUAUUCCACGCUCCUUAACGCUGGAGCCGAUUCUCACUCGAAUAAAUUAUGUCAUCUUUA